UACGAAGGGGGCGAGCGUUAUUCGGAAUCACUGGGCGUAAAGCGUGCGUAGGCGGCGAUGAAAGUUAGAAGUGAAAGCCCAGGGCUUAACCUUGGAAUUGCCUUUGAAACUGUUGGGCUUGAGUACGGGAGAGGUGAGUGGAAUUCCGAGUGUAGAGGUGAAAUUCGUAGAUAUUCGGAAGAACACCAGUGGCGAAGGCGGCUCACUGGACCGUAACUGACGCUCAUGCACGAUAGCGUGGGGAGCAAACAGG
This 253-nucleotide ribosomal RNA is filed under the name uncultured bacterium. RNAcentral describes it as "partial 16S ribosomal RNA". It matches the Rfam family "Bacterial small subunit ribosomal RNA", at positions 524 to 776 of the family's 1533-position model. The record is from RNAcentral.